RNAcentral lists this long non-coding RNA (262 nucleotides) under Nicotiana benthamiana. RNAcentral describes it as "long non-coding RNA (NBEN_LNC041018)". Lineage: Eukaryota; Viridiplantae; Streptophyta; Magnoliopsida; Solanales; Solanaceae. The record is from RNAcentral.
GCAGCUCGCCCAGAAGAAGAUAGACCCGCCACUAUAGAUUUGUCAAUCCCUGGGCUUGGCCAAAGGCAUACCCGGCAUACUAAGACUAAGAUGAAUCAUCUCAGUUCCUCAACAGGCCUAGUCCCUAAAUCCCUAAACUAAAUAGGACGCUUAUAAUCGCGAUCAUGCCGCAUCAGCUCUUUCAGUCACUACUACCUGUGUCGCACCUACAGUGGCAGAGAGUUUGAUAAGACUCUCGGAUAAGAAAGAUCAAUCCUGAAUA